RNAcentral lists this ribosomal RNA (328 nucleotides) under uncultured Acholeplasma sp. RNAcentral's name for it is "bacterial SSU rRNA". It matches the Rfam family "Bacterial small subunit ribosomal RNA", at positions 1051 to 1382 of the family's 1533-position model. Lineage: Bacteria; Bacillati; Mycoplasmatota; Mollicutes; Acholeplasmatales; Acholeplasmataceae. The record is from RNAcentral.
GUCGUCAGCUCGUGUCGUGAGAUGUUGGGUUAAGUCCGCAACGAGCGCAACCCUAUUGCUAGUUACCAUCAUUAAGUUGGGGACUCUAGCGAGACUGCCAGUGAUAAACUGGAGGAAGGUGGGGAUGACGUCAAAUCAUCAUGCCCCUUAUGACCUGGGCUACAAACGUGAUACAAUGGCUGGAACAAAGGGAUGCGAAGCAGUGAUGUGGAGCGAAACCCAUAAAAACAGUCUCAGUUCGGAUUGAAGUCUGCAACUCGACUUCAUGAAGUCGGAAUCGCUAGUAAUCGCGGAUCAGAACGCCGCGGUGAAUACGUUCUCGGGGUUU